Mercurialis annua (annual mercury) is the source of this 918-nucleotide long non-coding RNA. RefSeq lists it as uncharacterized. Lineage: Eukaryota; Viridiplantae; Streptophyta; Magnoliopsida; Malpighiales; Euphorbiaceae. The record is from RefSeq and is a predicted model, not a curated record. The transcript is spliced from 4 exons.
CGGGUCGGGUUCGGUCCAACCAGAAUCGGUUGGACCAGGUGUCGGUUGGACCAGGUCUCGUUGAACCGAGACCUGGUCUCGUACGGGAUGUGCAGGUCUCGUACGAGACCUGCUGCGGAAUUUCAGGGGGGCAGUUUUGCCCCCUGAUUUCUCUCGAUCUAUCCGCGUUUUAAAAACGCUUUCUAAACCAAAUAUCUUCACCACACAUCAGUCUAGCCCUAGCCGCUUUCCUCAUUCAAUUUCGCUGAGAAUCCUUUCCGAAAUCAUCAACCAAAGUUAAGUGAAAAUCAUUGGUUUCGCUUCCUUCCAGUGAUAGAAGACUCACGUAUCUACAAAUCCCAAUUUUUGUUUCGUCAAACGCCGUUCGGAGGUCGAAAUCAAUUCCGUUUGUUUCCCGUGAAAGUAGACUCACGCAUCUACGUUUCUACACCUUUCGUUCGUCAAACGACCCGUCGACUGCUCGUGCUUCGGAGUCUACGCAGGGUUAGCUGUUUGCCAAGAUCACGUGGAUAAGCAAGCAGUGAGUUUGUAGUGCUAUUUACCGCUUUAUUAAGUACCGCAAUUUAUUUUAAUAUUAUAAAUGUUUGCGAACUGUUUUUACGGAUUAUGGAACUGGAUUGAAACGAGCUACUCGAUAGGCUUGUAUCGAGACUGUGUGCACCGGUAAGUACUCUGGGAAACGGCAGACUAAAGUCUUGCUCACGCUGGUAUAUUUAUUUGACGAGGAUUUGUUCCCGUCCACUCUGGGUUUAUCGGUAUGCUAUGACAUACUUACGCUGGGAUCAUUUCAAUACUGUUUUUCCAUAAUCAUAUUAUAUUAGUAUAAAAAUGUUUUGAUUUAAGGGUUUUAAACUUAAUAAAUGUAAAUAGUAUUGCGAACUCAUCUCAGUAUAUCUGACCCCGUUGUUUUUCCAAAUU